Molecule: ribosomal RNA, 672 nt
Filed under: uncultured bacterium
Lineage: Bacteria
Description: bacterial SSU rRNA
Rfam family: Bacterial small subunit ribosomal RNA
Source: RNAcentral
UNACUUUGGNUGGNAACGCUGGCGGCAGGUCCUAAGACAUGCAGUCGAGCGGUAACAGAACUAGCUUGCUAGUUGCUGACGAGCGGCGGACGGGUGCGUAACACGUAGGAAUCUACCCAGUAGCGGGGGAUAGCCCGGAGAAAUCCGGAUUAAUACCGCAUACGCCCUACGGGGGAAAGCAGGGGCUCUUGUUCUUCUAUGAAGAGCGGACCUUGCACUAUUGGAUGAGCCUGCGUCGGAUUAGCUAGUUGGUGGGGUAAAGGCCUACCAAGGCCACGAUCCGUAGCUGGUCUGAGAGGAUGAUCAGCCACACUGGGACUGGGACACGGCCCAGACUCCUACGGGAGGCAGCAGUGGGGAAUAUUGCACAAUGGGCGAAAGCCUGAUGCAGCCAUGCCGCGUGUGUGAAGAAGGCUCUAGGGUUGUAAAGCACUUUCAGCGAGGAGGAAAGGUUAAAGAUUAAUACUCUUUAGCUGUGACGUCACUCGCAGAAGAAGCACCGGCUAACUCCGUGCCAGCAGCCGCGGUAAUACGGAGGGUGCAAGCGCCUAAUCGGAAUUACUGGGCGUAAAGCCGUGCGUAGGCGGCUGCCUAAGUUGGAUGUGAAAGCCCCCGGGCUCAACCUGGGAACUGCAUCCAAAACUGGGCAGCUUCGAGUGCGGGAACGGAGUG